RNAcentral lists this microRNA (21 nucleotides) under Populus trichocarpa (black cottonwood). RNAcentral's name for it is "ptc-miR7822". Lineage: Eukaryota; Viridiplantae; Streptophyta; Magnoliopsida; Malpighiales; Salicaceae. The record is from miRBase by way of RNAcentral.
UUUGAAAUUGAACAAAUGGUA